RNAcentral lists this ribosomal RNA (301 nucleotides) under uncultured bacterium. RNAcentral describes it as "partial 16S ribosomal RNA". It matches the Rfam family "Bacterial small subunit ribosomal RNA", at positions 509 to 809 of the family's 1533-position model. The record is from RNAcentral.
CAGUAGCCACGGUAAUACGAAGGGUGCAAGCGUUAAUCGGAAUUACUGGGCGUAAAGCGUGCGUAGGCGGUGAGUUAAGUCUGCUGUGAAAUCCCCGGGCUCAACCUGGGAAUGGCAGUGGAUACUGGCUCGCUAGAGUGUGUCAGAGGAUGGUGGAAUUCCCGGUGUAGCGGUGAAAUGCGUAGAGACCGGGAGGAACAUCAGUGGCGAAGGCGGCCAUCUGGGACAACACUGACGCUGAGGCACGAAAGCGUGGGGAGCAAACGGGAUUAGAUACCCCUGUAGUCCCUGUCUCUUAUAA